AAUUAUCCCAGAAAAUUGUUUAUAUUAAAAACAGGCUGAGAGUUGUUUGAACUGUGAAUCCCCCCCCCCCCCCCGCAAAUUAGAGGAUAAACAUUCUUCUUGUUAAGAUUUCUUUGGAAAACCCCUG
Molecule: non-coding RNA, 127 nt
Organism: Felis catus (domestic cat)
Lineage: Eukaryota; Metazoa; Chordata; Mammalia; Carnivora; Felidae
Source: Rfam